This 158-nucleotide ribosomal RNA is filed under the name uncultured bacterium. RNAcentral's name for it is "partial 16S ribosomal RNA". It matches the Rfam family "Bacterial small subunit ribosomal RNA", at positions 338 to 508 of the family's 1533-position model. The record is from RNAcentral.
CCUACGGGAGGCAGCAGUGGGGAAUAUUGGACAAUGGGCGAAAGCCUGAUCCAGCAACGCCGCGUGAGGGAUGACGGCCUUCGGGUUGUAAACCUCUUUCAGCAGGGACGAAGCGCAAGUGACGGUACCUGCAGAAGAAGCACCGGCCAACUACGUGC